UCCCAGGUCCGCUUCCGCCUGACACCGCCCUCCCCGGUGCGGUCCGAGCCGCAGCCUGCGGUGCCGCAGGAGCUGGAGAUGCCCGUGCUGCAGAGUAGCCUGGCCUUGGGCCUGGAGCUGCGGGCCGCAGCCGAGAGCCACUUUGAUGCUGCGAAGGCCGUGGAGGAACAGCUGAGAAAGUCGUUCCAGAUCCGCUGCGGCCUGGAGGAGAGCGUGUCCGAGGGAGCCACCUGGGCCGGGGCCAGACAUGACCAUCUUGUGUGACCCAGAAACACUAUUUUACGAAUCUCCACACCUGACCCUGGACGGUCUGCCCCCUCUCCGACUUCAACUCCGGCCCCGCCCUUCAGAGGACACCUUCCUCAUGCACCGGACACUGAGGCGAUGGGAAGCGUAGACCCCAAAGAUCCCUGGAGGGCUAGUUCGUAUUUUUGUGUUAAACUAUUUGUUAGAAUAAAGUAAUUUUGCUAAUAA
RNAcentral lists this small RNA (474 nucleotides) under Pongo abelii (Sumatran orangutan). Its description in RNAcentral is "processed transcript". Lineage: Eukaryota; Metazoa; Chordata; Mammalia; Primates; Hominidae. The record is from RNAcentral.